Long non-coding RNA from Neolamprologus brichardi, 300 nucleotides. RefSeq lists it as uncharacterized. The record is from RefSeq and is a predicted model, not a curated record. Lineage: Eukaryota; Metazoa; Chordata; Actinopteri; Cichliformes; Cichlidae.
GCAACCACCUCCUCCAACUCAUCUGGGGGAAUACCAAGGUGUUUCCAAGCAAACCAAGAAACAUCCCUCCAGCGUGUCCUGUGUCUGCCCCGGGGCUCUCUUCUGGGUUAGAGUAACUGGCAAAGCGUGAGAACAUAAAAGGCACAAAAGGUACAUUACUUGAGAGCUCAAUGAUGGGUGAAGGAGGUUUAUGAGGUCUGGCACAAGUCCUUCUCAAUGUGCUUCAGAGGACUGGUGAGUAUCCUGCCUUUUACUGUCAUUGUUCUAAUUUGGUGUGAGUACGCUCAAGUUCUUUUAGAU